UGGGGAAUUUUGGACAAUGGGCGAAAGCCUGAUCCAGCAAUGCCGCGUGUGUGAAGAAGGCCUUCGGGUUGUAAAGCACUUUUGUCCGGAAAGAAAUCCUUGGCUCUAAUACAGUCGGGGGAUGACGGUACCGGAAGAAUAAGCACCGGCUAACUACGUGCCAGCAGCCGCGGUAAUACGUAGGGUGCAAGCGUUAAUCGGAAUUACUGGGCGUAAAGCGUGCGCAGGCGGUUGCUAAGACCGAUGUGAAAUCCCCGGGCUCAACCUGGGAACUGCAUUGGUGACUGGCAGGCUAGAGUAUGGCAGAGGGGGGUAGAAUUCCACGUGUAGCAGUGAAAUGCGUAGAGAUGUGGAGGAAUACCGAUGGCGAAGGCAGCCCCCUGGGCCAAUACUGACGCUCAUGCACGAAAGCGUGGGGAGCAAACAGGAUUAGAUACCCCUGGUAGUCCACGCCCUAAACGAUGUCAACUAGUUGUUGGGGAUUCAUUUCCUUAGUAACGUAGCUAACGCGUGAAGUUGACCGCCUGGGGAGUAC
This 535-nucleotide ribosomal RNA is filed under the name uncultured bacterium. Its description in RNAcentral is "partial 16S ribosomal RNA". It matches the Rfam family "Bacterial small subunit ribosomal RNA", at positions 355 to 883 of the family's 1533-position model. The record is from RNAcentral.